RNAcentral lists this ribosomal RNA (256 nucleotides) under uncultured bacterium. RNAcentral's name for it is "partial 16S ribosomal RNA". It matches the Rfam family "Bacterial small subunit ribosomal RNA", at positions 527 to 779 of the family's 1533-position model. The record is from RNAcentral.
CGGAGGGGCUAGCGUUGUUCGGAAUUACUGGGGCGUAAAGGGCGCGUAGGCGGAUUAGUAAGUUGGGAGUGAAAGCCCGGGGGCUUAACCUCGGAACUGCUUUCAAAACUGCUAGUCUAGAGUGAAGUAGGGGGGUGAUGGAAUUCCUAGUGUAGAGGUGAAAUUCUUAGAUAUUAGGAGGAACACCGGUGGCGAAGGCGGUCACCUGGACUUCAACUGACGCUGAGGCGCGAAAGCGUGGGGAGCAAACAGGAUU